RNAcentral lists this unclassified non-coding RNA (348 nucleotides) under soil metagenome. RNAcentral's name for it is "partial contains 5.8S ribosomal RNA, internal transcribed spacer 2, and large subunit ribosomal RNA". The stretch from base 1 to 120 matches the Rfam family "5.8S ribosomal RNA", at positions 35 to 154 of the family's 154-position model. The record is from RNAcentral.
GAUGAAGAACGCAGCGAAAUGCGAUACGUAAUGUGAAUUGCAGAAUUCAGUGAAUCAUCGAGUCUUUGAACGCACAUUGCGCCCCCUGGUAUUCCGGGGGGCAUGCCUGUCCGAGCGUCAUUGCUGCCCUCAAGCACGGCUUGUGUGUUGGGCCCCCGCCCCCCGGCUUCGGGGGGCGGGCCCGAAAGGCAGCGGCGGCACCGCGUCCGGUCCUCGAGCGUAUGGGGCUUCGUCACCCGCUCUGUAGGCCCGGCCGGCGCCCGCCGGCGACCCCAAUCAAUCUUUCCAGGUUGACCUCGGAUCAGGUAGGGAUACCCGCUGAACUUAAGCAUAUCAAUAAGCGGAGGA